Molecule: ribosomal RNA, 497 nt
Filed under: uncultured bacterium
Lineage: Bacteria
Description: partial 16S ribosomal RNA
Rfam family: Bacterial small subunit ribosomal RNA
Source: RNAcentral
GAUGAACGCUGGCGGCGUGCCUAAUACAUGCAAGUCGAGCGAAAAGACGAGGAGCUGGCUGCUCUGACGUUAGCGGCGGACGGGUGAGUAACACGUGGAUAACCUACCUAUAAGACUGGGAGAACUACGGGAAACCGGAGCUAAGAGCGGAGGAUAUAGUGAAGCGCAUGGUUCAAGAGUGAAAGAGGGUUUUGCGGACAGUUGUAGAUGGAUCCGCGCCGGAUUAGCGAGUUGGUGAGGUAACGGCUUACCAAGGCGACGAUGCGUAGCCGCCCUGAGAGGGUGAUCGUCCCCCCUGGACCUGAGACACGGUCCUGACUCCUACGGGAGGCCGCAGUCGGGAAUCUUCCGCAAUGGGCGAAAGCCUGACGGAGCAACGCCGCGUGAGUGAUGAAGGUCUUCGGAUCGUAAAACUCUCUUAUUAGGGCAGAACAAAUGUGUAAGUAACUAUGCACGUCUUGACGGUACCUAAUCAGAAAGCCCCGGCUACCUACGUG